Long non-coding RNA from Nicotiana tabacum (common tobacco), 999 nucleotides. RefSeq lists it as uncharacterized. The record is from RefSeq and is a predicted model, not a curated record. Lineage: Eukaryota; Viridiplantae; Streptophyta; Magnoliopsida; Solanales; Solanaceae.
GCCACUACAUAAAUUCCUGUCCACACAAAUGGACCGACUAACAUUCCGCCAAUUUUUUAGAUUCUGACAUUUCAAUUGAGUUUUUCAGACUUUCACUUGGCUUUUGCUUUUUUCCGUCUUCACCGGCCUGCUCUAACCUCAAAUAUUAUCAAGAAUAUGUUCAGCAGCUGUCAUUGCGGAGAUGAAAAAGAACAAAAAAGAUGAAUGGUAAAUGUUGACUGAAAAUAAGCAAACCAAGCUUUUUCUCCCUUCUGAAGGUUAAUUUCACCACUCUUCAUCUGGAAAUCAAUUACAAAAGAACAAGGAAUCAAGGAGCUACUACAAGAUUGCUAAAGUCAAUCUUGAUGCUUAAGGAAAGAAAUCAAUUAGCAAAGAUUACGAUUCAAUCAGCAAAUCUGGAUGCUUAAGGAAAGAAAUCAAUCAGCAAAGGUUACGGAGAGCUGUGAUGGAAAGAAUCAAGCAAGCUUAACUUAAGACAUUAAUCAAGACCAGCACAUUCAAAUCCGGAAGAUCGAAGAUUCUGUGAAGAGUAGCUGAGCAGCUAUUUUUGGAAGGACCAACAAUCAAGGAGUAAACCUUCAUCAUAAACAACUGUAGAAGGAAAGCUGUCAAGGAAGAGCAACUGGCAAGCAAUCUUAUUUCUUGGAAAGAAUCAAUCUCUUUCCAAUGAUCAAAUCUCUUGGGUUGUCAAGCCUCCGUCAACAAACGAUCUUCACCAAAGUAUUUAUACUCAGCUUCAAGCCUUAGACAAACAUACUUUGAUCGAACCAAAAAAAUUCUCUCUUUGUUCUACUGCAAACAAACACUGUAGUUCUCUAAGAUCUGUUGUGUAACAAGUCAGGGAAAAAAAGAGUACAAUACUGGUGAGGCAUUGUAUCAAAAGAGACGAGUAUUAUAGGAACAGAGCUACCAAGUCAUUUUCAUAGUGCUCGGAGAAACACAUUUACUAAAGAGAACUCCCUUGCAACCCAAGGGGACUAGACUAGGAUUCACAUUGAA